RNAcentral lists this ribosomal RNA (460 nucleotides) under uncultured bacterium. Its description in RNAcentral is "bacterial SSU rRNA". It matches the Rfam family "Bacterial small subunit ribosomal RNA", at positions 28 to 507 of the family's 1533-position model. The record is from RNAcentral.
GACGAACGCUGGCGGCGCGCUUAACACAUGCAAGUCGAACGGCAGCGCGGGGGCAACCCUGGCGGCGAGUGGCGAACGGGUGAGUAAUGUAUCGGAACGUAUCCUGUAAUGGGGGAUAACCAGUCGAAAGAUUGGGUAAUACCGCAUACGCACGAGAGUGGAAAGUAGGGGAUCGCAAGACCUUACGUUAUAGGAGCGGCCGAUAUCUGAUUAGCUAGUUGGUGGGGUAAAGGCCUACCAAGGCGACGAUCAGUAGCUGGUCUGAGAGGACGACCAGCCACACUGGGACUGAGACACGGCCCAGACUCCUACGGGAGGCAGCAGUUGGGAAUCUUAGGCAAUGGACGAAAGUCUGACCUAGCGACGCCGCGUGAGGGAAGAAGGCCUUCGGGUUGUAAACCUCUGUCAUGGGGAAGAAGUAAGUGACGGUACCCCAAGAGGAAGCCCUGCUAACUACGUG